RNAcentral lists this long non-coding RNA (1714 nucleotides) under Hordeum vulgare. RNAcentral describes it as "long non-coding RNA (HVUL_LNC016796)". Lineage: Eukaryota; Viridiplantae; Streptophyta; Magnoliopsida; Poales; Poaceae. The record is from RNAcentral.
GAGUUCCACAAGCGUGUCGGAAUGUGAGGACCCGUUCGACUACGUUGGUUCGUCUGCUUCACGGAGUAAUUCUUCUUCCAAGCGGGAUCUCAGGCAAGAUGAUCAUUUCCCCAGAUACCAUUACUAUCAUUGCCAUGCUAGUUUUACCGUUUCUAUCGUUAUGUCUCGUUGCCUACCACAUGUUAAAUAUCAGCCUUCUCAACAAUGCCAUGAUAACCUUCAACCUGUUCGACCUAGCAAACCACUGAUUGGCUAUGUUACCGCUUGCUUAACCAUGUUGUUAGCGUUGCUAGUUGCAGGUGCAGUUGCUUCCAUGUGAUAACAUGGGUUCUUGUUAUAUCACCAUAUUAAAUGCUAUUUAAUUUAAUGCACCUAUAUACUUGGUAAAAGGUGGAAGGCUCGGCCUUUCUAGCCUGGUGUUUUGUUCCACCUUUGCCCCCUUAGUUUCGGCUACCGGUGUUAUGUUCCAUAAAAGAGCGCUCCUAACACGAUCGGGGUUGUUAUGGGGACCCCCUUGAUAAUUCGUUUUAGAUUAAAGCUGGUCCGGCAAGGCCCAACAUUGGUUCUACAUUUGCCCAACAUAAUAUUUUUGUUAAUAUUUAAAUGCAUAGGGCAUCAUGAACCCGAGGAGUAAUUUUACAUAAACAGGGGGGCCGGUGCUGAUGGUGUUGGUCCCAAACGGUCUGCCUGCGGGGCCACCACGGGGAAACUCGAGGUUUGGCACCCGUAGCUAGUUCCAUCCGUCGUGUCCUGAGAACGAGAUACGCGGCUCCUAUCGGGAUCGUCGACACGUCGGGCGGCCUUGCUGGAUUAGUUUUACCUUUGAUGAGAUAUCUUGUGCAUCGGGAUUCCGGUGAUGCUUUGGGUAAUCUUAGAGUUGAGGUUUUCCACUAGGGAAUCCGACGAGAUCGCGAGCUUCGUGAUUGAGGAUUUCUAUGCGGCUUGUGGUAAUUUGUGAUGGACUAGUUGGAGCACCCCUGCAGGGUUAAAUCUUUCGGAAAGCCGUGCCCGCGGUUAUGUGGCAACGUGGAAGCUUUGUUUAACACUGGUUCUAGAUAACUUGAAGUUAACUUAAUUAAAACUUGCCAACUGUGUGCGUAACCGUGACUGUCUCUUUCGUGAGUUCCUUCUCCGAUCGAGGACACGGUGGGGUUAUGUCUGACGUAGAUAGGUGUUCAGGAUCAUUCAUUUGAUCAUCAGUAGUUCACGUCCGUUAUGCGUAGAUCUUCCCCCUCUUAUUUCCUGUACUCGUAAGUUAGCCACCAAAUAUAUGCUUAGCCGCUGCUGCAACCUCACCACUUCACCAUACCUCACCCAUUAAGCUUUGCUAGUCUUGAUACCUUUGGAAAUGAGAUUGCUGAGUCCCGUGUGGCUCACAGAUUACUACAACACCAGUUGCAGGUACAUGUAAAGGUUACUCGACGUGAGCGCGUUGAUUGUUCAUUUGGAGUUGCUUCUUCUUCUUCUUCAUCGAUCUAGGAUGGGUUCCAAGCCGGCAGCCUGGGAUAGCAAGGAUGGACGUCGUUCUUCUUUUGUCGUUUGUUUUCGUCCGUAGUCGGACCCUGCUCUUACUCUUGAUGAUUAUGUAAUGUACUGAUGUGACUCUGAUGUAGCUUGUGGCGAGUGUAAGCUAACUCUGUAUAUAUAUCUCUUCUUUUCAGUACAUGUACUUGUAACGAUAUCCAUUCUUGCGACACGACGAGAUGCGCUUCUA